CACGUAGGGUGCGAGCGUUGUCCGGAAUUAUUGGGCGUAAAGAGCUCGUAGGCGGUGUGUCGCGUCGGCCGUGAAAACCUGCAGCUUAACUGUGGGCUUGCGGUCGAUACGGGCAUCACUGGAGUUCGGCAGGGGAGACUGGAAUUCCUGGUGUAGCGGUGAAAUGCGCAGAUAUCAGGAGGAACACCGGUGGCGAAGGCGGAUCUCUGGGCCGUAACUGACGCUGAGGAGCGAAAGCAUGGGGAGCGAACAGG
RNAcentral lists this ribosomal RNA (254 nucleotides) under uncultured bacterium. RNAcentral's name for it is "partial 16S ribosomal RNA". It matches the Rfam family "Bacterial small subunit ribosomal RNA", at positions 524 to 776 of the family's 1533-position model. The record is from RNAcentral.